CAAUUCAGAAAAUAACCCCUGCUGAGUGCUUAAAUUUUGUUUUUUUGCAUAAGAACAAAAACAAAUUUUGUAAAAACAAAAAAUAACAAGUAAUUCUCUGCUCGUCAUUUAAUACUGUUCUGAGAAUAUCUUUCUACUUAAUUACAUAAUUAAAUAUGUAAAAAUAUUUUAAAUCUUUUCAAAUAUUACUCUAUAACAUUAGGGUAAUAGUAAUAUAAAAUUCUACUGUAAAUAUAUCCUCUAAUUAAUUUCCCAAUUCACCUACUGAUGGACAAUUACUUUUUUAUAAUUUUAAAAUAUUUUAAAUGGUGCUAUGAAGGAUAUUCUUACAAUCUUUGCUCUGUUACGUGCCUAUAAUUAUUCUGAAUAGUGUAAUUUCUGGGGCAAAGGCUAAACAUAUUUUAAGGCUUUUGAUAGCAUUGCCAAGUUUUCCUUAAGAACAUUUAUUUUAAAUAUACUCUCCACUAGCAAUACAAGUAAGCCUAUUUGUGAUGUCUUCGCCUUUAGCGUAACACAGGGAAUCAUCAUUUUUUUAAACUUUAGCAAAGACAUGACAGUGUUGUUUUACUUUAAUUUUUUAUUGUUUUAUAAAAUAUUUUAAUUUUUUACCCUUAUAGAUUCUAUCAUUAGAUAGGUCUUCCCCACUUCACAAAUAACUUUUGCAAGUAUUUUAAUUUCCCAUUUUUAAAAUCUUUUUGUGGGAGUUCCCACUGUGGUGCAGCAGAAACUAUUCUGACUAGUAUCCAUGAGGAUGUGGGCUCGAUCCCUGGCAUUGCCGUGAAGUAUGGUGUAGGUCACAGACAUGGCUUGGAUCCUGAGUUGCAGUGGCUCCGUAUCUCCUAUUUGAACCCUAUCCUGGGAACCUCCGUAUGCCGUGGGUGCAGCCCUAAAAAGAAAGAUAAAUAAAAUAAAAUAAAAUAAAAUAAAAUAAAAAUCUUAUUGUGUACAUUUACAUUUUAAAUACAUCUUGAAUUCAUUUUUAAGUUAAAAAUACUUUUUUUAGUGAUUAGCAAGUUGUUCCAACGUUUUCUGAAAUUGGGUACAAUUAUGCAAAAAAUUUUGUUAUUUGCUACACAAAGUAAAAAUUUUAACUAGUGAAAUAUAAAACUAGGCCUCAUUUUAAAGGGUAUUUAAUUGUGAAAUAGUCCUCUAAUAGGUUAGACUCUGAGUAUCAUGUUAUUAUAAAGGUCAUAGGCAUUGACUCCAGCCAGCUGUUGGUUAUGUUAUUUUUAAAAUAUUAUGUGAACAUGACCUAUGAUAACUCCCUGAAUGACAAUUCUGAAAAUUAAAUCUCCAGUAUGUAAUUUGGCUCCAGCAUGGGAGGUUUUACAUAAUUUUCUCUGUAAGAAUACCUCAUUCUGAUCUUGAAAUCAGUAACACAACCCUCAAACAUAAUUUUGAUUGUCAACUUAAUCAUUGCUGUUUCUUGACAUUUCCAAGAAAGAUAUUGUUGCUACCAUAAUUCUUUAAACAAAAAUAGCUAUCCAAUAAGAUCUAUAUGUGUAUUUUCUAAUUCACUUACAAUUUCAACUGGCCACUAGAUGGGGUCAUUAAGUGUUAACAAACUGGGUCCAAUAUAAUUUAAUGAUCUUAAAACAAAAGGUCUAUAAUGUUUUAGCAUGUCAGUGCAUGUGAUUAUUAACUCAUCUCCAUAAAACCAUUAUUUUAGCUGAAUUAGAAUGAAUGCCAAAUUUAUUAUUUAAUAAAAACUUGUGCUAGUAAAUAUUUUAAGUUAGCCUUAAAAGCUUUCUUCUCAAGAUGAGCAUACAAAACACAAUAACAAUAUUAUAUAUGUACUCACAAUAAACAAUUGAAAAACAUAAUAUUUAUGAGAUAAUCCCAUUUAGAAUAUGUACAAAAAAUAUAAAGUACUCAGGAAUAACUCUAACAGAAUAUGUGAAAAGCCUUUAUACAGAAAACUAUCAAGCAUUAUUAAACAGCAUUAAAAAGUCCAAAAAAUGAAGGGAUAUACAAUGUUCAUGGAUGGAAAGACUAAAUAACAUAAAAAUGUCAGUUUCUGCAGAUUCAUUCACAUAUGACAUUUAAUUCCAAUAGAAAUACCAAGAUAAUUUUUUCUAUAAGUUAACAAUCUAAUGCUAAAUCUGUAUAUAAUAGACUUAAAAUAAUCAAUUUGAGGAAGAACAAUAUGGGAGUAACUUGCCUUAUUUGACCAAGGGAACAAAAUAGAAG
RNAcentral lists this long non-coding RNA (2190 nucleotides) under Sus scrofa (pig). Its description in RNAcentral is "lncRNA (ENSSSCG00005041078.1)". Lineage: Eukaryota; Metazoa; Chordata; Mammalia; Artiodactyla; Suidae. The record is from RNAcentral.